AACGUAGGUGGCAAGCGUUAUCCGGAAUUACUGGGCGUAAAGGGUGUGCAGGCGGGGUUGCAAGUGGUGUAUGAAAUAUCCCAGCUUAACUGGGAGGGGUUAUGCCAGACUGCAACUCUAGAGGACGAGAGAGGGGGGUGGAAUUCCGGGUGUAGUGGUGAAAUGCGUAGAGAUCCGGAGGAACCCCAGAGGCGCAAGGCGGCCCCCUGGCUCGUACCUGACGCUCAGCCACGAAAGCAUGGGGAGCGAACGGG
Molecule: ribosomal RNA, 254 nt
Filed under: uncultured bacterium
Lineage: Bacteria
Description: partial 16S ribosomal RNA
Rfam family: Bacterial small subunit ribosomal RNA
Source: RNAcentral